This is an RNA transcript of Salvia splendens (bonfire salvia), 2405 nucleotides long. It is a transcript of the gene named zinc finger protein CONSTANS-LIKE 14, with no coding region annotated. The record is from RefSeq and is a predicted model, not a curated record. The transcript is spliced from 6 exons. Lineage: Eukaryota; Viridiplantae; Streptophyta; Magnoliopsida; Lamiales; Lamiaceae.
AGCUCCUUCUCCUUCAUCUUCCUCCUCUUCUAGCUGCAAAUUUCUUCCACCAACACUCUCAAUUCACUCUCUAUUCACUCUCAAUUUCCAAAGCAAAUCAAGCUACUUUUGCGAAUCAACCGAUUUCAUCUAUGUUCCUUCAUUUUGCUUCCUUGUUUCGAGGUUUUGGCACAGAUCUAUUACUGCAAAAUCCACUCUAAUCGAUUAAUCAAAAUUUGCGAUUUUGUUUUUUUUUCUCGAGAAUUGGCGAUGGUUUCGUGCGAUUUCUGCGGCGAGCGGCAGGCGGUGCUCUACUGCCGCGCGGACAGCGCGAAGCUCUGCCUGUCGUGCGACCACCACGUGCACUGCGCGAACGCGCUCUCGAAGAAGCAUCUCCGCUCCCAGAUCUGCGACAACUGCGCCGCGGAGCCGGCGUCGUUCAGCUGCUCCACCGACGGGCUCGUGCUCUGCCAGGACUGCGACUGGGACGCGCACGGCAGCCGCCUCGUGGCCGCGGCGCACGAUCGGUGCCCCGUCGACAGCUUCUCGGGAGUUCCGUCGGCGUUCGAGCUGGCCGCGGCCUGGGGGCUGGAGAUUGAGGAGAAGAAGCCGGCGGAGUACGAGUGGGGAGGGCUGCUGGAUGAGCUCAUGGUGCCGAACGCUAGCUCGGUGAUUUAUUCCGACUGCGGCGGCGAAUUGGUGAAGAAGAAGAGGAAUCCGAGCUGCGGGAAGCAGAAGCAGGUGAUUCUCAAGCAGCUGAUUGAACUUUUAGCGGACGGCGGCGGCGGCGGUGGAGAUGGGGAGGAUGUAGGGCCGGGGACGCCGAGCGGCGGCGCGUGGCGGCAGGAGAGUUUUUGCGGACAAUUUGAAGAGCAACCGCAACAGCAACAGCAACCGCAAGCGCAAGACGAAAAGCAGCAGGAAUUGGCGCAGGGCGGAGGGUUUACGUCGUUGCUAAUGAUGCAGACGCCGGCCAAUCAGAAGGAGGAACGCAACAUGUUGUGGAACACCACCACCGCAUGUGAUCACAGCGCGCAGAUAUGGGACUUCAAUCUGGGACAAUUGAGGGGCCAUGAGGAGUCUAGCCCUGUUGAGCUAGAAUUUGGCGGGAACAACAUGUACACUAUGAAAAGUUAUGGGGAGCUACUGAAAGAAUCAUCCCUGGCCAAGAGAAGAGGGGUGGACGUCUCUGGAGUGAACUGUUCUAUUGCCCAGGAAGAUAAUAUAAUCCCCUUUAACAGUGCCACCGAUAACCGGACACCAAGUCAGGGGCCUGCUACAUCAGAGAGCAAUAAUGUACCUGCAUCAAGGCCCGAAUCCGGUUCCAUGGAUAUUCAGUUCAUGAGUCAGUCUAUUCUAAUGACAAAUGAAAGUGCGGCUGCUAUGUCAAAGAGUGACAUCGAGCUUAUGGCAAAGAAUAGAGGCAAUGCUAUGCAACGAUACCAGGAAAAGAAGAAAACAAGGAGAUACGACAAGCAUAUAAGAUAUGAAUCAAGAAAAGCAAGAGCUGAUACUAGGAAGCGAGUGAAGGGCCGAUUCGUCAAAGCUCAAGAAGCACCAGCUGGAUGAGUAGUGUUCAUAGUUGACAUCUAAUUUUCUUAAUUAAUGCAGAUACAGGAAGCCUAUUUCUGCAUUUAGUCGAACGGCGUCGGCAUGGGUUUGGAGGUAGAGGAGAGGAUGAAGGAGAUGCCAUUGUAUCUUGUCAACAACUUUAUAGGAGUGAAGAUGAAGAAAGGGUUGAUAAACUUGUGCAAUGGAGAGAGCUCCGCCUCUGUUCUUGAUGCCCGAUCGGCUUGCUUGGCCGAGGGAGAAAGAGAGAGAGAAAGGGGGAGAGGGAGAGAAAGGCAGCCAACUUUGGAGGAGAUGAUCCUGCAGUUGGAGAUGGAGGAGAAGAUGAGCAGGAGGAGCAAGGUAGAAGCGCACAGGAUGUCGUGUGUGAGCAGCUGCGACAUUCUUAGAAGCGCGAGGAAGGCGCUGGAUCAGUAUCCCCGAUUCUCUCUGGACGGGAAGGACGCCAUGUACCGGUCAUCCUUCACGGGGGAGAUGGAGGCGGAGAAGAGGCGGAGGCGGCUGCCAGCGGUGGUGGGAGGGGAGAGCGUUAUCUGGUGCAAACCCGGGGUGGUGGGGAGGCUCAUGGGGCUGGACGCCAUGCCGGUCCCCUUGAAUACGAACUAUAGGAGGGAGAGGCUGAGCGCUAUCAUGAGGCAGCAGAAGGAGGCGGAGGCCGAGCGCCGGUGGCGGCGGAGAGGGGUGGUGGGGUCUUGCUCCAGAGCUGGAUAUUGUGUUGUCAAACCAAAUAGUGAAGGAUUGCUUCAUCACAAGAGAUGGAAGGGAUAGUGUUGUUGUUUCAUUUGUAUCAUGCUAACUCAAUUCAAUAUCUAGAUGAUAGAAAUCCAACUUAGUUAUUAAGACGUUUCUCUUAAUUA